AGGGGUAUAGCUCAGCUGGUAGAGUCGCGGUCUCCAAAACCGUUGGUCGUGGGUUCAAAUCCUUCUGCCCCUGCCA
Molecule: transfer RNA, 76 nt
Filed under: Clostridia bacterium
Lineage: Bacteria; Bacillati; Bacillota; Clostridia
Description: tRNA-Trp
Rfam family: tRNA
About the family: Transfer RNA (tRNA) molecules are approximately 80 nucleotides in length. Their secondary structure includes four short double-helical elements and three loops (D, anti-codon, and T loops). Further hydrogen bonds mediate the characteristic L-shaped molecular structure. tRNAs have two regions of fundamental functional importance: the anti-codon, which is responsible for specific mRNA codon recognition, and the 3' end, to which the tRNAs corresponding amino acid is attached (by aminoacyl-tRNA synthetases). tRNAs cope with the degeneracy of the genetic code in two manners: having more than one tRNA (with a specific anti-codon) for a particular amino acid; and 'wobble' base-pairing, i.e. permitting non-standard base-pairing at the 3rd anti-codon position.
Source: RNAcentral